UUGUAUUACUCCCACUAGAGAACAAUCAGCUGACAAGCAUAUAAAACUCCAUCAGAUGUUCUCUCGAUAGGUCAAUUCAGAGAACUUAUUCUCUAAUGAAUAUCCACAUCCUCGUAUUUGUGUCAUCAUAUAAAUGAUUAUGAAAUUAACUAUCCUCUCCAUCGAGCAUACAUAGGAUGUGCCAGUCUUACCAGUAUCAUUGAUCUCAAACUCAGUGAUCCUAUGAUUGAGAAUAUUUUAGUUCAGAAUAAUUCAAGAUUUAGAUCUCACUAAUAUGAUCUCAUCAUAAUUUUAAAAUCAUUGUCCUAAUCUAUGGAG
This 318-nucleotide long non-coding RNA is filed under the name Elaeis guineensis (African oil palm). RNAcentral describes it as "long non-coding RNA (EGUI_LNC033642)". The record is from RNAcentral. Lineage: Eukaryota; Viridiplantae; Streptophyta; Magnoliopsida; Arecales; Arecaceae.